GAUCCUGGCUCAGGAUGAACGCUAGCUACAGGCUUAACACAUGCAAGUCGAGGGGAAACGAUUAUUGGAAGCUUGCUUCCGAUAGGCGUCGACCGGCGCACGGGUGAGUAACGCGUAUCCAACCUGCCCAUCACGUUGGGAAUAACCUUGCGAAAAGUAAGACUAAUGCCCAAUGACAUUUAUAGAAGGCAUCCGAAAUGUAAUUAAAGAUUUAUCGGUGUAUGGAUGGGGAUGCGU
RNAcentral lists this ribosomal RNA (237 nucleotides) under uncultured bacterium. RNAcentral describes it as "partial 16S ribosomal RNA". It matches the Rfam family "Bacterial small subunit ribosomal RNA", at positions 15 to 236 of the family's 1533-position model. The record is from RNAcentral.